GAGGAAGGAUCUGCGCCUGCGCCGAGGCCAGAAAGGCUGAGACAGGGCUCCUAAAUGGAAAGGCACUCUCAGCCAGAUGGAGUUUAGCUGAGUGCAGAGGAUUUAUGAGAACACAAUAGCACAGAUUGCUGAAGGACAGAACGGUCGGAGUGGGACUAGGAGCCUGGAGCGGGGGCGGGGACUUGAACAUUCCAGGCUCUGUGAACUAAGUGACUGAAGCUGAUUGACACAGGUCAAGGGGACUUCAAGGAAGAAAGCCAGCCUUAGACUGACAUCAGAGAACCAAACUCCGGUGUCUAAGCUCAAGAGGUUAGAAUCCUGAGAACUGUUUGGAAUAAGGAAUCCAAAUAUUGUCUUCCAGCUUCACCUUGUCACGACAGUCCUCGCCAGGGACAGCUGAGGAUGGAAACCAGCCCUGCACACUGCUGGCUCUGGAGGCCUGGUAGAUUAACAGGCACCGGACUUACAAUUGGUCUCUUAAGCCUUUCAACUCUUUAGAAGCAAAGGGGAAGGCAUGGAGGGUGCCAUGAAAUCAAAGACAUUGUUCGUAAGCUCCUGGAUCUUAUCAGUGUGAGGAAGUGUUCAAAAAAGUUCUGUCCCCCCUAGAGACAAAAAGACCUCUUCUCUGCCUCCCAGCUCCCAUGGCGCCUCUCUCGAUACGUGGCCUCUUCUGAUACUUACCUCAGCUUGGACACAGCUCUCUGAAGAUCAUCUACAUCUCCAUUUAUGCCGUGUGCACGCAGUACCAACAGAGGUCAGAGGAGGGUGUCGGAUCCCCUGGAACUGGAGUCACAGAUUCUUCCUUGCGUGGAUGAAACAGUCCCAACGAACACUUUAAAAAGACAAAUGUUCCCGACAGCACUGGUUGAAUUCAAAACUCGGCAGAUCCAUGUUCUUAUCCUUAGACAAGAGAGGGGCCAUAACAAGAUGGAAUGACGGAACAGACGUGAGAGAUGAUGGUACAGUGACUCGGGUAACCCCAGAAAAGGGACAGCUCUUCUACAGCUCAGUGGGGACAGGGACAAAAAGAAACAAUUUCAUUUCAGUCCACCCAGAGGGUCUGCACUUCUCGGAGCCAGAAGGUGGAGAAGAGUAGGGAUGGAGGAAGUUCGAAGUUUUAGGAGUCUGCUCUUGGGUCCCUAGGCAUGAGGACAAGCUUUUCCUGUACUCAAUGCUCAUCUCUCAGUUGUGCCCACAUUGGUACACAUUACUUGCUUUCAACUGCUGCUGCUGCUGUUUCCUAAUUCAAUAAAGAUAUGGCUGGCUCAGCAGAGAGCUGUCAUCCA
RNAcentral lists this long non-coding RNA (1286 nucleotides) under Mus musculus (house mouse). Its description in RNAcentral is "predicted gene 29154". The record is from RNAcentral. Lineage: Eukaryota; Metazoa; Chordata; Mammalia; Rodentia; Muridae.